Molecule: ribosomal RNA, 621 nt
Filed under: Ralstonia insidiosa
Lineage: Bacteria; Pseudomonadati; Pseudomonadota; Betaproteobacteria; Burkholderiales; Burkholderiaceae
Description: bacterial SSU rRNA
Rfam family: Bacterial small subunit ribosomal RNA
Source: RNAcentral
ACGUGCCCUGUAGUGGGGGAUAACUAGUCGAAAGAUUAGCUAAUACCGCAUACGACCUGAGGGUGAAAGUGGGGGACCGCAAGGCCUCAUGCUAUAGGAGCGGCCGAUGUCUGAUUAGCUAGUUGGUGGGGUAAAGGCCCACCAAGGCGACGAUCAGUAGCUGGUCUGAGAGGACGAUCAGCCACACUGGGACUGAGACACGGCCCAGACUCCUACGGGAGGCAGCAGUGGGGAAUUUUGGACAAUGGGCGAAAGCCUGAUCCAGCAAUGCCGCGUGUGUGAAGAAGGCCUUCGGGUUGUAAAGCACUUUUGUCCGGAAAGAAAUCGCACUUACUAAUAUUAGGUGUGGAUGACGGUACCGGAAGAAUAAGGACCGGCUAACUACGUGCCAGCAGCCGCGGUAAUACGUAGGGUCCAAGCGUUAAUCGGAAUUACUGGGCGUAAAGCGUGCGCAGGCGGUUGUGCAAGACCGAUGUGAAAUCCCCGAGCUCAACUUGGGAAUUGCAUUGGUGACUGCACGGCUAGAGUGUGUCAGAGGGGGGUAGAAUUCCACGUGUAGCAGUGAAAUGCGUAGAGAUGUGGAGGAAUACCGAUGGCGAAGGCAGCCCCCUGGGAUAACAC